GAUGAAAGCUGUGUUGAGAUUGUGACAUAUAUUACAUGAUGUAUAUUUAUAUCACAGACCAAUGCAACCAAACAUCAUGCAUGGGACAAGGGAGAUGCUUGGAGACCAUCAACAAUUUUACCUGUGUGUGUGAACCUGGGUUUGAGGGACACUUUUGCCAAACAGGUGAGGGGGAAUCUGGAAGCUGCUGUUCCCACCGUGUCACACCUCUCCUUUAACCUAUGACCUUUUCUAAUGAGGGUCGCUAUGGCUACAACAUCUGCUUCCUCAAUUUCCUGAGUGGUACUUCAUUUACACAUCAGGCAUUAUGACAGGUCCCUACUGUACCCCACUGUUGUGCUGAAACCUUUCUUUGCCCCUAAAGCUAAGGGAUGUGACCCCUUAUGUCUACCUGAUGGGUUUGUGAACUGCUCUGCUGUCAACUUUACUGUCAACUCUACAUGCCGGUUGAGCUGUGAGAAGGGGAACCUACUGCUGGGAUCCCCAGAAGUCAGCUGUGGCACGGACAGGGUCUGGACUGCAGUCUGGGGCGAUGACAUCUGGAGCAGGAUCUGGGUCUGGAGUGGACAAAGGCCAGUUUGUGCAAGUUAUCAGCAUGUCCUAAUGGCUGUAGCUGCUGGUUGGAUGCUCUCACUGUCCUGCUGCAUCUGCUGUUGUUUCAAUCACAGAAAAAGUAAGUUCCAGUUGUUUAUAAAAAAAAUAAUGUUUUAUAAAAGAUAACAAGUGUUUUUUUUUACCUGCUUUUUCUCCCCAAUUGUUAGUCUUGUCUCAUCGCUACAACUCCCGUACGGGCUCGGGGAGAGACAAAGGUCAAAGGCCAUGCGUCCUCCAAAACACAACCCAACCCAAGCUGUGCUUCUUAACACAGCGUGCAUACCACCCGGAAGCCAGCCGCACCAAUGUGUCAGAGGAAACACCGUGCACCUAGCGACCUGGUCAGCAUGCACUGCACCGCCACAGGGGUUGCUAGUGCACAAUGAGACAAGGAUAUCCCUACAGGCCAAACCCUCCCUAUCUCGGACGACACUAGGCUAACAGUGCGUCGCCCCAUGGACCUCCCGGUCGCGGCCGGCUGCGACAGAGCCUGGGCUCGAACCCAGAGUCUCGGGUUUAUUGAAAUGUGCUUUUAUUUAUUUAACCUUUUAUUUAACUGUUUGGGUACAUUUUCCCAUUAUAAAUCAAUUUAAAAGGUAGCUUAAUGACUAUAUAUAUAUUUAGGAGUAGUAACACCAAUGAUGAUAACACCAACGAUGAUAACACCAAUGAGACAUUUUAGAUAAAUGAGGAUUUUCUGAGAUGGCCAUCAAUUCUUUACUAAAGUGAUAUCAUUAAUCACUUUGCUCACAAUGUUAUUUCCCUUCAUCUAAAUUGACUAACACCUUUGAUUUAGACACACCUAAUUGUUCAUCUUACAUUUGGUUUGUCAUUUAACAGACAUUCACAGUAGUACAAUGCAUAUAUUUUCAUACUGGUUCCUCUCGGGAAUCAAACCCACAACCCUGGUGUUGUAAGCACCCUACUCUACCAACUGUGUCACACAGAAUCAAUGGAAUUUUUUUAAAUUGAUGACAUACUUAAAAGGGUGUGACUAGCUAAUAAGGAUGCUUAAUAUAGACCUCCCUCCCCCCCCCUGAUAACAGUUUGCCACUGGAGAGAAUGCUCAGUGUCCUUGUAUAUCUUUGUAAAUCAGUGAUUUUU
This is a long non-coding RNA of Oncorhynchus mykiss (rainbow trout), 1698 nucleotides long. NCBI's taxonomy places the organism in Eukaryota, Metazoa, Chordata, Actinopteri, Salmoniformes, Salmonidae. The record is from Ensembl.